Molecule: long non-coding RNA, 468 nt
Organism: Meriones unguiculatus (Mongolian gerbil)
Lineage: Eukaryota; Metazoa; Chordata; Mammalia; Rodentia; Muridae
Exons: 2
Source: RefSeq, a predicted model, not a curated record
CCUCAAGUAGUCAGAGAGGGUAGCUCCUGCCUAGCAUGCCCAAUCCAUCUACAUCCGGGACUCUCUCUCUGCGGCCAGGGUGUUUUAAAAGGUCUUGGACUGUUUGUGAAUAUAUACUGGAUGAGGCAAUCCAGGCACAAAGAAGCAAAUGGGGAUUCCCCAAUGGUGCUCACCUGUAACUGCAACACAGAGGAAGCUGAGGCAGGAGGACCUCCAGUUCAAGGUCUAUCCACCAAGGCUGUAUCACAAAUUUUUUAAAGUGUUUAAAUAUGAGCCAAGUCACACAAAUAAUAACAGUCCACACACCUGGGUACAAAGAGACCAGAUGACAGUACAGAGCAUUCCUAGGUCCUCAAUAAAGUGAAGUGUGGUUAAACCGAACAACCCGGGCUUUAAUAACCCUUGAGAGGAGACAAAGGGGUAUAUGUUAAUUGUUUGUUGCUGCCUAAUAAACUAUCACAAACUUAA